This 381-nucleotide ribosomal RNA is filed under the name uncultured eukaryote. RNAcentral's name for it is "SSU rRNA". It matches the Rfam family "Eukaryotic small subunit ribosomal RNA", at positions 587 to 969 of the family's 1831-position model. The record is from RNAcentral.
AGCUCCAAUAGCGUAUAUUAAAGUUGUUGUGUUAAAAAGCUCGUAGUUGGAUCUCGGCGGUCUGGGAGCGGUUCGCUCGCUAGAGUGCUACUGCUCCAUAGUCCGUAGUUUUGCCAGAGGUCUCGGGGUGCUCUUAACCGAGUGUCCCGCGAUGCUGGCAGGUUUACUUUGAAAAAAUUAGAGUGCUCAAAGCAGGCUUUUACGCCUGAAUAUUCGUGCAUGGAAUAAUAGAAUAGGAAGUCGUUUCUAUUUUGUUGGUUUUCGGAAAUCGACUUAAUGAUUAAUAGGGACAGUUGGGGGGAUUCGUAUUAUGGCGUCAGAGGUGGAAGUCUUGGAUUGCCAUACGACGAACCACUGCGAAAGCAUUUCUCAAGGAUGUUU